Molecule: long non-coding RNA, 1569 nt
Organism: Mobula hypostoma (lesser devil ray)
Lineage: Eukaryota; Metazoa; Chordata; Chondrichthyes; Myliobatiformes; Myliobatidae
Exons: 6
Source: RefSeq, a predicted model, not a curated record
UCAGGGUAAAAUGUUUCCUUUAAGAAUGUGCACGUAUUAUUGCAAACUCCCAUGGGCCGUCUGCAUGUCAUUACUUUACCGUUUACAAUUUUGAAAAGUCAGAAUUCAUUUCAUCCUUACACUGAAAAGCAUUUCUACAACUGUUGUUCGUCAGUUCCCGAAUAACAAUGGCGAAGAUACAACUCUCCAAAACGUUAUUAAAUCUGAUGGUGGACUGGAAGAAGCUGUUCCUAAAAUGUGACGGUGUUUUUUAGAACCAUUUUCCAUGUGGGACAGGAUGGUGUGAAGUGCAGAGGCUAUAGUAUCACCAGUGGACCGAUUCAAAUGGCAUUCUUGGUUGAACAAAGAAAUACAACAGAGUCAAUGAAGAUCUACACACAAAUGCUGACAAACAACCAAUAUGAAAAAGAAGCCAAAUUGUAGAAGUACAAAAUCAAUCAAUCAAUAAAUAAACAAAUAAAAUAAUGCUGAAUUGUAGAAUCCUUGAAAGUGAGUCCAUGGAUUGUAGAAUCAUUGCAGUGUUGAGCACCUCUUUGAGAGGAAACUGGAGAGCCCGGGGAAAACUUAAACAAUCUAUGAGGAGGAAGCACAGAGACUCCCUACAGAAUUAAACUCCAGAACGGCCUGAACUGUAACAGUGUCAUACUAAUUGCUGCAUUACUGGGGCGCCCAGUCAAGGAGCAGAUGAAACUUGACAUGAAGGAGUGGAAAGUGAUGUCCAUGAGUAAAGAAUUAGUGACAGGGCCAUGGAUGGAACAAUGUGGGAACAUUACAAAUCACUGGUUGAAUUUAUGAAGCAGGCAGAAAUCCUCAUGAAAUUUUAAAGAAUAUGGGGGCUGUGGACAAUUCUGAUUUGAUGGACACAGACGUGAAAGCACAGAGGAACAUCUAGAGAAAUUUCUGAAACACCGGUUCGCUGCCGCUGUUACUGGGCAAUCGAGAAUCUUCCAGAGGGAAAGCCCCAAAAUCCCCGGCUUUGCCUGCUGCUGGCCACCGAGGCUGAGGUCGAAUCGUUCGGAUAGAGAUGGUGCUCGGUACUCGGUGUCAGAGGGCUGAUCGGAGGCUCAAAGUUUUCGGAUGGCUCAGAGUCAGACUACGGUCGGGCAUGGCAGGGAGCGUUUUCUUCCUUCUCCCGUCUGGGAUGUGGGACUUUCAAGAGACUUCGAACAUUUUUACUGUGACCAUGGCCUGUUCUUCAUCAAGUUAUGGUAUUGUUGCACUGUUGUAACUAUAUGUUAUAAUUAUGUGGUUUUUAUUAGUUUUUCAGUCUUGGUCUGUCCUGUGUUUGUGUGAUAUCACACCGGAGGAAUAUUGUAUCAUUUCUUAAUGCAUGCAUUACUAAAUGACAAUAAAAGAGGACUGCGUGUCCUCAUAAUCUAAUCUAAUCUAACCUAUCCAAGAGUCUCUUAAAAGACCCUAUUGUAUCCACCUUCACCACCGUCGCCGGCAGCCUAUUCCAUGCACUCAAUGAGAUCCCCACACAUUCUUCUAAAUUUCAGUGAGCACAGGCCUAAACCUGCCAAAUGCUCCUCAUAGGUUAGCUCCUUUAUUCCUGGAAUCAUCCUUGUG